UUUGGCUCUUAUGCUGAAGGGGCCCCAGGCCCAGAUGGCUUCUCCUUCCUGUUUUAUCAGCACUUUUGGGAUUUGAUUAAACUAGACUUGCUUGCUCUCUUUGCAGAUUGGGAGAAUGGAGAGCUUGAUUUAUAUAUGCUUAAUUUCUCCCUUCUUACUCUGGUUCCUAAAGAACCAAAUGCUAUUAGACUAGAAAGAUUUAGACCUCUUGCCAUGACUAAUUGUAGUUUUAAAAUCUUCUCUAAAUGUUGUACUAAUAGGUUUGGCCGAGUGUGUGAUGAUAUUAUUUUACAAAACCAAACUGCCUUUAUGAAAGGGAGGUUCAUUAUGGAGAGUAUAGUUGCUUCUCAUGAGAUUGUUCACUCUCUGGCCUCCUCUAGACUUCCUGGUUUUGUUUUUAAGCUAGACUAUGAGAAAGCUUAUGACAUGAUUAAUAGAGAUUUUCUUUUUGAAGUGCUAUCCAGUAGAGGCUUUAGCCCCAAAUGGAUUGAGAGAAUUAGGACUCUA
This 507-nucleotide ribosomal RNA is filed under the name Triticum aestivum (bread wheat). Its description in RNAcentral is "partial small subunit ribosomal RNA". The record is from RNAcentral. Lineage: Eukaryota; Viridiplantae; Streptophyta; Magnoliopsida; Poales; Poaceae.